GACGAACGCUGGCGGCGUGCUUAACACAUGCAAGUCGAACGGAAAGGCCCUGCUUUUGUGGGGUGCUCGAGUGGCGAACGGGUGAGUAACACGUGAGUAACCUGCCCUUGACUUUGGGAUAACUUCAGGAAACUGGGGCUAAUACCGGAUAGGAGCUCCUGCUGCAUGGUGGGGGUUGGAAAGUUUCGGCGGUUGGGGAUGGACUCGCGGCUCAUCAGCUUGUUGGUGGGGUAGUGGCUUACCAAGGCUUUGACGGGUAGCCGGCCUGAGAGGGUGACCGGCCACAUUGGGACUGAGAUACGGCCCAGACUCCUACGGGAGGCAACAGUGGGGAAUAUUGCACAAUGGGCGGAAGCCUGAUGCAGCAACGCCGCGUGCGGGAUGACGGCCUUCGGGUUGUAAACCGCUUUCGCCUGCGACGAAGCGUGAGUGACGGUAAUGGGUAAAGAAGCACCGGCUAACUACGUG
This 468-nucleotide ribosomal RNA is filed under the name uncultured bacterium. RNAcentral's name for it is "partial 16S ribosomal RNA". It matches the Rfam family "Bacterial small subunit ribosomal RNA", at positions 28 to 507 of the family's 1533-position model. The record is from RNAcentral.